Molecule: ribosomal RNA, 371 nt
Filed under: uncultured Glomeromycotina
Lineage: Eukaryota; Fungi; Glomeromycota
Description: eukaryotic LSU rRNA
Source: RNAcentral
UUGAAAGGGAAACGAUUGAAGUCAGUCGUACCGACGAGAAAUCAACUUAUCGUGUGCGAACUUGUGGGCGUGCGUGAGUUUCGGCCUCGCUGUUUGCAUGUUUGUGCGCUUUGGGUGUACUUUUUCGUAUGGUAGGCCAACGUCAGUUUCGAUUAUCAUAAAAUGACCGGCGGAAUGUAGCUUCGAUUUCGGUUGAAGUGUUAUAGCCUCUGGUAGAUGUGGUGAUUGAGACUGAGGAUUGCAACGAAUACCCUUUGGGCUAUCCGUCUGGCCUCUGAAAGUUGCUCAGGUGCCGGAAGCGUGCUUACGGUCAUCUAAGUUAACGUUCAACAGGUUAGAACGUGAUUACAUUCGUUAAGGAUGUUGACGUA